GCGGCCGCAGGUAGCUGAGCUGGAGCUAGCACAAGUUGAAUUCACCAAAUAGAAGACAUUGGAAAUGAGACCCGAGGGUUGGAGGAGGAGGAAGCCUGCAAUGUGAACACGAUGGCUGGAGCUCCGGCAGCCAUUCUGGACCAGGAGGUAGCCUUGAAGAUGGAAGCCACAUGUUGGGAUGGUGAAUCCAAAAGAUGAGGAGCCUGUAUCCCCUGUGACACCAGAACUGCCAUACCAGCCCUGGGUUCCUCCAUCUAUACUGCCUUCAUAUGGUAAAGAAAUAUUCUUGGAUCUUGUUAGGUGUCUGUUGCAGCCAAACACAAUCCCAACUGAUAUUCACUGUAAAUGAUUCCAUGGCUCCCUGUAGUACUUCUACAAAGCAUCUAUCACAAUUGUAAUUAAUAAAAUAAUUAUGCAAUUACUGGU
This 426-nucleotide long non-coding RNA is filed under the name Homo sapiens (human). RNAcentral describes it as "RCAN3 antisense RNA". The record is from RNAcentral. Lineage: Eukaryota; Metazoa; Chordata; Mammalia; Primates; Hominidae.